GCUCCGGGCAGCAGGAAGAAGGUGAGACCAGAAGGCAGAGGGGGCUGGUCCUGCCUGGUCAGCCCCCAGGGGGCUUUGCCCAGACACCCCUUCCCCACCCAUGGCUCUGCUGAUUUCUCUAUAGCUGCCACCCUCUGAAAAGGGAGCUGGCAGAGUAGUUCUUAGACAUGGCACCUGGCCACCUCUGUGGCUGAAGAAGAAGGGGGUUGAGGAUUGGGGUACACACCUGUCAGUCUCCAUGCAAUGCCCCAAAGUGGACCACUGACCCCACACCACGCUGUUCUCCUCUGAGUUUUCUCACCUCUGUCCAAAUGGCUGCAGAAGCCAAAAGCCCCAGAGCCCAGCUCCCCUUCCCUCCUUUCUCUUCCAUCCUUCCAUCCUUCCAUGAGCCUGCCCCUCAUCCUCCUCAGGGCUGGAACUGGCUGCCGGAUUCCUCCCUGGCUCCGUGGGGGCUGGCUCAGCAAUCUGAGCUGCCGAUGGCUCUGUGGUCCAGCUGGGAGGAUUCAUGCCCCAUUGGGGCUGAGAGGAAUGAGGUGAGGGCUGUGGGGUUUGCCCAGAAUCUCCUGAAAUAUCGGGCCCAGGAACUACAGCAGGACUCUCAUUCCGCCUUCUGGCCACUGUUGGGGGUGACACUGGCAGGAUCCAGGGGCUCUGGAAAGCUCCAGGGGAAAUUUGAGGCAUAACCCAGCUUCUCUGAGACGGAACUCAGGGAGGAUCCAGCUCAAUCCUACAGAGGCGACCCCAAGGAAGGACCUGCCCAGGGUCACUUGGAGAGCUGGGCGGGAGGAGGGAGAAACCUCCCCCGUUCAGAGUGACAAAGCCCCCCUUGCCUCAGGGAUGGCUGAGAUCCAAGUCCUCAAAACACGCCGCCAUCUGGAGGGUGUGAGAGCGAGGUCCGUCCUCAGCAUGGACGCUGCAGUGCACACUGUUCCGUGCCAGGUGCUGGCUGACCCUGCCCUGUGGGAGGUGAUGGACAGGCACACAGGGGGAGCCCCGCAAACAAGGGGCCCUGUUACAGCAGAGUGGGAGAGCGCCUGGUAGGACGCCAAGCACCGUGGCCGGGCUGCAGAGAGGCCUGCGGGACUUGUAGACAAGACGUCAUGGAGAAGGCGGAGCUCCCAUGGGCCUUGCAGGUUUCACCAAGCAAGAGCGGAGAAGACACAGGCUGGACAAAGGAAGGUGGACGGGACAGCCAGCCGUGCAGCAGCCUCACAGGACACAGCUGUCGCUUCCCCUGGCACCUAAGCUUGCCUGAAAGUUGGGAAUAUGAUGACUCACCGUAUUUGGCAGCUCGUAUGCGUCUAUAUUUCAAGACAUUCAUGCUCAUGCUCAUUAUAAUUAGGGCUGGAGAAUCAGCACAGUCAACUGCCAAAAUCAAGUGCACAAUUCAUAUCAACCUUUCAGACCAGACAGAGAGCACCAGCUGACACUCAUUCCUCCAGCACCAGGAAAUGCCACAGCAGAAGAGAGUCUUCAAGAUGGGCCAGACCCACUUCUGCAGCAUGGUUGCUGGGAGCCUGCACAGGCCAGGCAUUUCUCUACAGGUCAGCAGAGCUGCAGCAAGAUCCCAGGUCCUGACCCAAGGCAGUCCUGACCCAUGGUCUAUCCCCACCGGCCCUUCCCUGGAGCUGUGCCUCAGCUGGGGAGGUACUUCUGGAAGGCAGGUGGAGGAGGUCCAGUUGCUCUUCAGAACUCAAAAUCCCAUCUCUGCAGGUCUCAGCCAAUCCUGCUCCCGCCUGUUUUUAUUUCCUGCCCAGAGCAAGUACAGAACCGAGGGCCAUCGAUGGGCGAGAAAUCACUGUGCCUCCAAGCUGUAUUUUUCACCGUAACAAGUCAUUACUUCUGUGCCCGGAGUCAUUUCUCAGGAUCUUAAUGCAUUCGUUUAUCAAUCAAUACUUAACUGAUGUCUAUAAAGCAUGUUCAAAAUCAGAGGUGAGAGCAGCUCACCAGGUACCGACUUCGUGUCUGGAGCCACCUUGUUAAGGAGCAACCCUUGGCACGGGUCCCGUGUCUGCACCCUCGGGAGCUCUGGGUGGGUGCACUGGGGUCCUCACAGCCCUUCCCACCACCGCAGAUGGAAAUCUCUACCUGGCAGAGGGGCUCAGUCGUCCCCACCUGGGAGUCUGGGGCCUACCGGCAGCAGAAGGUGCAGUGGCCAAACACAGAGACAUUUCUAUCAUCAGACCUGGUCCCCAGCCUGACUCUGCUGCCCACUUACCCCUGGCCAGGGCGAGUUCAUCGACUGUGCCGAGCCUGGCUGCUUCUCCAGCCUAACAGGAGUCCCCGUCUCGACAGGACUGAGUGGGGUGAAUGCAGCCAAGUGCUCAGCAGAGACUGUCCCACCGGGAAGUGUUCACAAAUAUGGGCUGUUGAACCUGCUGUUGUUAGAUCUAGAUCCAGUUCUGCGACCACGUUCAUGACUUAGAUCAUAACUGAAGUGCGGGCCAGCCGAGGCCGGGCCGUUUAGGGGUUUGGCUGCUAAUUCAAGAAGGACACCUGGGUUUGGAUCCCAGAGUUCCCUCCAGACCCAGAUGUGGCCUCAGGCAGGUGAUGAGCCUGGAGAUGCGGUUUCAUUUUCUGCAGGGUGGUCAAAGGAGAUCUCAGGCUUGUAGGAGACAAAGCACAUCGCCCCGAACUGCUCAGGAGGCGCAGAUUACAGCCACCCUCCUUAUCCACCCCGUCUCCCAUCACAGCCCUCAUGAGUGCUCAAGCAAGGCUCAGGGCCUGAUGGACGUGGCUGCCUCCUCCUAGAGGACAGGCAUGUCUCGGCUGCCUGCACCAGCCAGCGGCCCUUCUCCCCGGCCAGGAGAUCCUCCAAGGAAGGCCAAGGGCCAAGCAGCUGCUGGAGCAGAUGACCACAAACUCAGUGACUGCAGAGUGCACGCGCUCAUCACCUUACAGUUGUGUAGGCUGGGAUCCCACUGGGCUAAGACCAAGGUGUUGGGAGGCUGCGUUUCUUGCUGGAUGCUGUAAGGGAGAAGUCGUUUCCUCGUGUUUUUUUAACUUCCUUGGCCCACGGACCUUCCUCCACCUUCAAAGCCAGCAGCCUCGCGUCUUCUGACCUUCCAUUGUCACAUCGUCAUCUGACCCACGUAAGGACCCGUGUGAUUAGGGUGGGCGCACCCGGGUAAUCUUCCCAUCUCAAAGUCCUUGACUGAAUCACAUCUGCAAAGUCCCCUUUGCUACGUAAGGUCACAUGUUCACAAGAUCCAGGGAUUAGGACUUGGACAUUUUUGGAAGCCCAUUGUCCUGCCAACAGCACAAGACCUCCAGGUGAUCCUGAUGUGUAACGCACAGUGAGAGACAAAUGCUCUGAUGGACCAUCAACAGCAGAACGUAAGCAGGGAGAGGGACCCCGCCUUCCUCCCCAAUCUGGCCCUGUGCCUAGCAAAUUAUAGAACUUUUGUAAGCAAA
This is a long non-coding RNA of Homo sapiens (human), 3414 nucleotides long. Ensembl annotates it as long intergenic non-protein coding RNA 898. NCBI's taxonomy places the organism in Eukaryota, Metazoa, Chordata, Mammalia, Primates, Hominidae. The record is from Ensembl.